AGAGUUUGAUCCUGGCUCAGGAUGAACGCUAGCGGCAGGCUUAAUACAUGCAAGUCGUGGGGCAGCAGGGGUGUAGCAAUACAUUCGCUGGCGACCGGCAAACGGGUGCGGAACACGUACACAACCUUCCUCUAAGUGGGGGAUAGCCCGGGGAAACCCGGAUUAAUACCCCGUAACAUAAUGAAGUGGCAUCACUUUAUUAUUAUAGCAGCAAUGCGCUAAGAGAUGGGUGUGCGGCUGAUUAGGUAGUUGGCGGGGUAACGGCCCACCAAGCCUACGAUCAGUAACUGGUGUGAGAGCACGACCAGUCACACGGGCACUGAGACACGGGCCCGACUCCUACGGGAGGCAGCAGUAAGGAAUAUUGGUCAAUGGACGCAAGUCUGAACCAGCCAUGCCGCGUGGAGGAUGAAGGUCCUCUGGAUUGUAAACUUCUUUUAUCUGGGAAGAAACCCAUGGAUUCUUCUGUGGUUGACGGUACCAGAUGAAUAAGCACCGGCUAACUCCGUGCCAGCAGCCGCGGUAAUACGGAGGGUGCAAGCGUUAUCCGGAUUCACUGGGUUUAAAGGGUGCGUAGGCGGACAGGUAAGUCAGUGGUG
RNAcentral lists this ribosomal RNA (599 nucleotides) under uncultured bacterium. RNAcentral's name for it is "bacterial SSU rRNA". It matches the Rfam family "Bacterial small subunit ribosomal RNA", at positions 8 to 596 of the family's 1533-position model. The record is from RNAcentral.